AUUCUUGGUGAUCUGGACCAGAUUGUUAAUGGACCUGAAGUCUUGAGCAAGUUUGUUGGUGAAACAGAAAAGAAUGUUAGAGAUCUGUUUGCUGAUGCUGAAAAUGAUCAGAGGACUCGCGGUGAUGAAAGUGAUUUGCAUGUCAUAAUCUUUGAUGAAAUUGAUGCUAUUUGCAAGUCGAGAGGAUCAACCAGGGAUGGUACUGGAGUUCAUGACAGUAUUGUGAAUCAACUGCUUACAAAGGUACAUG
This is a long non-coding RNA of Humulus lupulus (European hop), 250 nucleotides long. RefSeq lists it as uncharacterized. Lineage: Eukaryota; Viridiplantae; Streptophyta; Magnoliopsida; Rosales; Cannabaceae. The transcript is spliced from 3 exons. The record is from RefSeq and is a predicted model, not a curated record.